AAACUAAAAAGAAAAGAAAGAAAAGAAACAGAAUAGGCAAACGUGAAGCAGGGGAAGGAAAGGAAGAAAGAAACGAAAGAAAGAAAAGGAAAAAUUCAAGCUAACGUUGUCUCGGGAAAUUUCGGCUAAGCAAGGAAAAAUGGCAAAGACAACGAGAGUUAGCUCGAGAAAAUACGGUUAAGGCUAGACCAUUGAAUCAGCAUCCCAGGUCGAUCCUGAAUUCAAUGAGGUAAAGUAUGUUGAGUAUUGGUAAUAGCAUGUACCUAGGAUGUCUUAUGAGAGUCAUUUAGGUUGUGAAAGUAUUGAUAAAACAAGUAAAUUAUGGUUGGCAAUGGUAUAUAAUAUGAAUUUGAAAUUUGAAAGAAAAA
Molecule: long non-coding RNA, 368 nt
Organism: Gossypium arboreum
Lineage: Eukaryota; Viridiplantae; Streptophyta; Magnoliopsida; Malvales; Malvaceae
Exons: 3
Source: RefSeq, a predicted model, not a curated record